AUUGAACGCUGGCGGCAGGCCUAACACAUGCAAGUCGAACGAGUGGCGGACGGGUGAGUAAUGUAUGGGAAACUGCCCGAUGGAGGGGGAUAACUACUGGAAACGGUGGCUAAUACCGCAUACUAUCGUAUCGGCCCAGAUGGGAUUCGCUAGUAGGUGGGGUAACGGCUCACAAAGGCAACGAUCCCUAGCUGGUGUGAGAGGAUGACCAGCCACACUGGAACUGAGACACGGUCCAGACUCCUACGGGAGGCAGCAGUGGGGAAUAUUGCACAAUGGGCGCAAGCCGGAUCCAGCCAUCCCGCGUGUAUGAAGAAGGCCUUCGGGUUGUAAAGUACUUUCGGCAGGGAGGCGUUACUUGCAGAAGAAGCACCGGCUAACUCCGUGCCAGCAGCCGCGGUAAUAC
This 406-nucleotide ribosomal RNA is filed under the name uncultured bacterium. RNAcentral describes it as "partial 16S ribosomal RNA". It matches the Rfam family "Bacterial small subunit ribosomal RNA", at positions 30 to 526 of the family's 1533-position model. The record is from RNAcentral.